AUGGAACUGGUGCGGUUCGUCCUUUUUCAGACUCUUGGCGCACCCCGCACCUUAUGCCCUGAAAACCAACACGACGGGCUACUUGCAUCCCGUGGUCCCGGUGAGCUCACCCUUGACACUGAUUCAACCUUGUUGAUAUCAUAUGAGUUCCACUCAUUCAGUCUUGUUGAUGUCCAUAAUUUAUUGUAUUUUCUGUCAGAAUUUCGUUCUUCUUGCUAUGCAAAUUCCAGUGUUUAUCAGUAUGUCCUGUCCAAAUUUCAGUUUUUUAUUGUACAAAAAUUUAGUGUUGAUGUUCUAAGUUUUACUUUACUAGGAAAAUUGCCCUUGUGUUCCAAUGGGGAUACAUUGUGA
Molecule: ribosomal RNA, 351 nt
Filed under: Triticum aestivum (bread wheat)
Lineage: Eukaryota; Viridiplantae; Streptophyta; Magnoliopsida; Poales; Poaceae
Description: partial small subunit ribosomal RNA
Source: RNAcentral